GAUGAACGCUAGCGGCAGGCCUAAUACAUGCAAGUCGAACGGGAUCCAGAUCAAAGCUUGCUUUGGUUUGGUGAGAGUGGCGCACGGGUGCGUAACGCGUGAGCAACCUACCCUUGUCAGGGGGAUAGCCCGGCGAAAGUCGGAUUAAUACCGCAUGACAUCAUUGAGAGGCAUCUUUCGAUGAUCAAAGAUUUAUCGGACAAGGAUGGGCUCGCGUGACAUUAGCUAGUUGGUAAGGUAACGGCUUACCAAGGCUGCGAUGU
This 263-nucleotide ribosomal RNA is filed under the name uncultured bacterium. RNAcentral describes it as "partial 16S ribosomal RNA". It matches the Rfam family "Bacterial small subunit ribosomal RNA", at positions 28 to 282 of the family's 1533-position model. The record is from RNAcentral.